GUAGUCAUAUGCUUGUCUCAAAGAUUAAGCCAUGCAUGUCUAAGUAUAAGCAAUUAUACAGCGAAACUGCGAAUGGCUCAUUAUAUAAGUUAUCGUUUAUUUGAUAGUACCUUACUACUUGGAUAACCGUGGUAAUUCUAGAGCUAAUACAUGCUAAAAAUCCCGACUUCGGAAGGGAUGUAUUUAUUAGAUUAAAAACCAAUGCCCUUCGGGGCUCACUGGUGAUUCAUAAUAACUUCUCGAAUCGCAUGGCCUUGCGCCGGCGAUGGUUCAUUCAAAUUUCUUCCCUAUCAACUUUCGAUGCUAGAGUAGUGUUCUAUCAUGGUUACAACGGGUAACGGAGGGUUAUGGCUCGACCCCGGAGAAGGAGCCU
RNAcentral lists this ribosomal RNA (373 nucleotides) under uncultured fungus. RNAcentral describes it as "SSU rRNA". It matches the Rfam family "Eukaryotic small subunit ribosomal RNA", at positions 20 to 397 of the family's 1831-position model. The record is from RNAcentral. Lineage: Eukaryota; Fungi.